This 85-nucleotide transfer RNA is filed under the name Candidatus Nitrosopelagicus brevis. RNAcentral describes it as "tRNA-Ser". It matches the Rfam family "tRNA". From Rfam's summary of the family: Transfer RNA (tRNA) molecules are approximately 80 nucleotides in length. Lineage: Archaea; Thermoproteati; Nitrososphaerota. RNAcentral also lists the same sequence under 2 other names. The record is from RNAcentral.
GUCGGGAUAGCCAAGCUUGGUCCAAGGCGGACGCCUCGAAAGCGUCUGUGCUCUGCACACGGGGGUUCAAAUCCCUCUCCCGGCG